GACGAACGCUGGCGGCGUGCUUAGCACAUGCAAGUCGAACGGUGAAGCGCCUUCCUUUUUGGUGGGUGUGGAUGAGUGGCGAACGGGUGAGUAACACGUGAGUAACCUGCCCCCUUCUUCUGGAUAACCGCAUGAAAGUGUGGCUAAUACGGGAUAUUCUGGGUCUGUCGCAUGAUGGGUCUGGGAAAGAUAUUGUUUCGGUGGGGGAUGGGCUCGCGGCCUAUCAGCUUGUUGGUGGGGUGAUGGCCUACCAAGGCGGUGACGGGUAGCCGGCCUGAGAGGGUGGACGGUCACACUGGGACUGAGACACGGCCCAGACUCCUACGGGAGGCAGCAGGGGGGAAUAUUGCACAAUGGGCGCAAGCCUGAUGCAGCGACGCCGCGUGAGGGAUGGAGGCCUUCGGGUUGUGAACCUCUUUCGCCAGUGAAGCAGGCCUGCCUCGUUUGUGGGUGGGUUGACGGUAGCUGGAUAAGAAGCGCCGGCUAACUACGUG
RNAcentral lists this ribosomal RNA (494 nucleotides) under uncultured bacterium. Its description in RNAcentral is "partial 16S ribosomal RNA". It matches the Rfam family "Bacterial small subunit ribosomal RNA", at positions 28 to 507 of the family's 1533-position model. The record is from RNAcentral.